This 198-nucleotide ribosomal RNA is filed under the name uncultured bacterium. Its description in RNAcentral is "partial 16S ribosomal RNA". It matches the Rfam family "Bacterial small subunit ribosomal RNA", at positions 328 to 539 of the family's 1533-position model. The record is from RNAcentral.
ACGCUCGACACCUACUGGAGGCAGCAGUGGGGAAUAUUGCACAAUGGGGGAAACCCUGAUGCAGCGACGCCGCGUGAAGGAAGAAGUAUUUCGGUAUGUAAACUUCUAUCAGCAGGGAAGAAAAUGACGGUACCUGACUAAGAAGCCCCGGCUAACUACGUGCCAGAAGCCGCGGUAAUCUGAGCGGGCUGGCAAGGC